Molecule: ribosomal RNA, 300 nt
Filed under: uncultured Janibacter JB1
Lineage: Bacteria; Bacillati; Actinomycetota; Actinomycetes; Micrococcales; Intrasporangiaceae
Description: bacterial SSU rRNA
Rfam family: Bacterial small subunit ribosomal RNA
Source: RNAcentral
GGCGGCGUGCUUAACACAUGCAAGUCGAACGGUGAAGCUCCAGCUYGCUGGAGUGGAUCAGUGGCGAACGGGUGAGUAACACGUGAGUAACCUGCCCCAGACUCUGGAAUAAGCGCUGGAAACUGCGUCUAAUACUGGAUACGAGACCAACCUGCAUGGGUGUGGUCUGGAAAGUUUUUACGGUUUGGGAUGGGCUCGCGGCCUAUCAGCUUGUUGGUGGGGUAAUGGCUCACCAAGGCGACGACGGGUAGCCGGCCUGAGAGGGCGACCGGCCACACUGGGACUGAGACACGGCCCAGA